Molecule: long non-coding RNA, 838 nt
Organism: Mercurialis annua (annual mercury)
Lineage: Eukaryota; Viridiplantae; Streptophyta; Magnoliopsida; Malpighiales; Euphorbiaceae
Exons: 2
Source: RefSeq, a predicted model, not a curated record
UAAGGGGGUCAAUAUGUAUUAAUUAUCUAAAUAACACGUUAAAUUUUAAAAAAAUUAUUUGAGAAAUUUGUAAUUUUGGAAAAAUAAAAGGGGCAAAUGCCCCUCUUAUCCAUAACGUGGCUCCGCCACUGGCGCCUUCAUCCGAACAAAAACGCCUCUCCAGCAAACCUUACGUUUGCUCCUUCAUAUGAACUAAUACUUCUCUUCAAUGAAAGCGGCAGUGGUAUUUAAACACAUCUUUAAUCUUCCAAACAUCCAAACAGAUUCAUCUUCAAUCUUCCUCACAAUUCAGCUUUAACAACCAAUUACGGAGAAUCUAAAUCUCGGCAACUCAGUGGUGGCUAAUGGCCUCUUCGAAGAGGAAAUGAAUUCAUUAUGAAGAGGAAAUGGAUGAUAAUUUGUUUGUGUUGUCUUUUAAUGCCUUAGAGAACAAAGAAAGGUUUGAUAAGGCCGAAGCAGAAUGACCGGAGAUGAUUUAUCACAUUUUCUGCAUCGCACUGUGGCUUUGAUGUUCGAUGUUGUUCCUGUUUUGAUUCAUAUAAUGUGGAUUUCUUGCUGCCAAAGCUCCAUGUAGUGUCACAAGCUUACUGUACGCACAUUCAUACAGACUGAGAGAUAAUAUUCAGCAACUCGACGAGGUGUCUCCCGUUCUUUUGCAGAGGUAGACUGGAUAAUAGAACUUGUUAAUGCCCUCAAAAUAUAUCUCAAUAUUGUCAUCAUGUUUUCAUAUAAGAGUUAAGUCUUGGUAGAGCACUUAAUGGAUUCUGUUAAAUCUUUUUCUUACAUGCUCUUUCGAGCAGAGCAUACAGUCAAAUCGGGGGAGUACAUUCCAUUUUCA